UACGGAGGGAGCUAGCGUUGUUCGGAAUUACUGGGCGUAAAGCGCACGUAGGCGGCUUUGUAAGUUAGAGGUGAAAGCCUGGAGCUUAACUCCAGAAUUGCCUUUAAGACUGCAUCGCUCGAAUCCGGGAGAGGUGAGUGGAAUUCCGAGUGUAGAGGUGAAAUUCGUAGAUAUUCGGAGGAACACCAGUGGCGAAGGCGGCUCACUGGCUCGAUACUGACGCUGAGGUGCGAAAGCGUGGGGAGCAAACAGG
This 253-nucleotide ribosomal RNA is filed under the name uncultured bacterium. Its description in RNAcentral is "partial 16S ribosomal RNA". It matches the Rfam family "Bacterial small subunit ribosomal RNA", at positions 524 to 776 of the family's 1533-position model. The record is from RNAcentral.